ACUUUCUUAAUAUAAAAAUUAUAUUUGAUUUCCAAUCAAAAAAUCUAAUAAAACCAUUAGAGAAAGUA
RNAcentral lists this transfer RNA (68 nucleotides) under Eucrate crenata. RNAcentral describes it as "tRNA-Gly". Lineage: Eukaryota; Metazoa; Arthropoda; Malacostraca; Decapoda; Goneplacidae. The record is from RNAcentral.